AAGCAUUGGAGGGAGAAGAGAACGUGUCCGUAUUCAGGGUGGAGUGUAAGAGAGUGUGUUUAAAUCUCAGUUUUGCUACUUAUUAGAUGUACA
This 93-nucleotide long non-coding RNA is filed under the name Pongo abelii (Sumatran orangutan). RNAcentral describes it as "lincRNA". The record is from RNAcentral. Lineage: Eukaryota; Metazoa; Chordata; Mammalia; Primates; Hominidae.